Long non-coding RNA from Sinocyclocheilus grahami, 614 nucleotides. RefSeq lists it as uncharacterized. NCBI's taxonomy places the organism in Eukaryota, Metazoa, Chordata, Actinopteri, Cypriniformes, Cyprinidae. The record is from RefSeq and is a predicted model, not a curated record. The transcript has 3 exons.
UGUUCAUUAUAGAAUAAUUCAAUUUGAAAUGCACUUUUCUGGUAGUGGUAUCAUGUCGAGUUCAACUGAGUGUUUCCAUUGUAUGCAUCUCUGAGUUCAGCUGUUUUCUGGUAUAUUACUGUACAUUGUUCUCUGUGCUCUGCAUAUCUUCGUUUAUCCACCCCCCUGGUUUUAUGUGCUGUCCUGUCCUGAACAUACACUGACUGCUGACCAUUGUGUCCCAACACUCGCCCUCUUGUUCAGCUCUGAGUUUGCUGGAGAGGAUGGAGGAUUCUUGUGUUUUCUUACCACAAUACAACCUUUCAUGGCGCCACCGUACACGGACCUUUCCUGCUUCAUUUUAGAGCAUUUAGGUUCUACAUCACAUCAUGUCAUACUGUCAAGAAGGGAGCAGUACUGUGAAGGCUCUGACCAUUGGCAGUGAUGGCGUUCCGUGAGUUCACAUCCACAGCUGCACAGCUGUAUGACAAGUGGAUCAAAGAUGCAGACCCCAGGACAAAAGACUGGCCGCUCAUGUCCUCGCCGCUCCCACAGACAGUUAUUAUUGUAUUUUACAUCUACUUUGUGAUGUCACUGGGGCCCAGAUUAAUGGAGAACAGGAAACCAUUUGAUCU